Molecule: unclassified non-coding RNA, 308 nt
Filed under: plant metagenome
Description: partial contains 5.8S ribosomal RNA, internal transcribed spacer 2, and large subunit ribosomal RNA
Rfam family: 5.8S ribosomal RNA (bases 1-105)
Source: RNAcentral
GAAAUGCGAUAAGUAGUGUGAAUUGCAGAAUUCAGUGAAUCAUCGAAUCUUUGAACGCACAUUGCGCCCCUCGGUAUUCCGAAGGGCAUGCCUGUUCGAGCGUCAUCUACACCCUCAAGCUCUGCUUGGUGUUGGGCGCCUGUCCCGCCUCCCGCGCGCGGACUCGCCCCAAAUGCAUUGGCGGUGGACCUUGCCUCCCUCCCGCGCAGCACAUUGCGCUUCUCGAGGCGUCGCGGCCCGCGUCCAGCAAGCGACCGUUUACCCGUCUUUGACCUCGGAUCAGGCAGGGAUACCCGCUGAACUUAAGC